AUUGAACGCUGGCGGCAGGCCUAACACAUGCAAGUCGAGCGGAUGAAGGGAGCUUGCUCCUGGAUUCAGCGGCGGACGGGGGAGUAAUGCCUAGGAAUCUGCCUGGUAGUGGGGGAUAACGUCCGGAAACGGGCGCUAAUACCGCAUACGUCCUGAGGGAGAAAGUGGGGGAUCUUCGGACCUCACGCUAUCAGAUGAGCCUAGGUCGGAUUAGCUAGUUGGUGGGGUAAAGGCCUACCAAGGCGACGAUCCGUAACUGGUCUGAGAGGAUGAUCAGUCACACUGGAACUGAGACACGGUCCCGCCUCCUACGGGAGGCAGCAGUGGGGAAUAUUGGACCAUGGGCGACAGCCUGCUCCAGCCAUGCCGCGUGUGUGAAGAAGGUCUUCGGAUUGUAAAGCACUUUAUGUUGGGAGGAAGGGCAGUAAGUUAAUACCUUGCUGUUUUGACGUUACCAACAGAAUAAGCACCGGCUAACUUCGUG
Molecule: ribosomal RNA, 484 nt
Filed under: uncultured bacterium
Lineage: Bacteria
Description: partial 16S ribosomal RNA
Rfam family: Bacterial small subunit ribosomal RNA
Source: RNAcentral